GGAAACGGGCGCUAAUACCGCAUACGUCCUGAGGGAGAAAGUGGGGGAUCUUCGGACCUCACGCUAUCAGAUGAGCCUAGGUCGGAUUAGCUAGUUGGUGGGGUAAAGGCCUACCAAGGCGACGAUCCGUAACUGGUCUGAGAGGAUGAUCAGUCACACUGGAACUGAGACACGGUCCAGACUCCUACGGGAGGCAGCAGUGGGGAAUAUUGGACAAUGGGCGAAAGCCUGAUCCAGCCAUGCCGCGUGUGUGAAGAAGGUCUUCGGAUUGUAAAGCACUUUAAGUUGGGAGGAAGGGCAGUAAGUUAAUACCUUGCUGGGUUGACGUUACCCACAGAAUAAGCACCGGCUAACUUCGUGCCAGCAGCCGCGGUAAUACGAAGGGUGCAAGCGUUAAUCGGAAUUACUGGGCGUAAAGCGCGCGAAGGUGGUUCAGCAAGUUGGAUGUGAAAUCCCCGGGCUCAACCUGGGAACUGCAUCCAAAACUACUGAGCUAGAGUACGGUAGAGGGUGGUGGAAUUUCCUGUGUAGCGGUGAAAUGCGUAGAUAUAGGAAGGAACCCCAGUGGCGAAGGCGACCACCUGGACUGAUACUGACACUGAGGUGCGAAAGCGUGGGGAGCAAACAGGAUUAGAUACCCUGGUAGUCCACGCCGUAAACGAUGUCGACUAGCCGUUGGGAUCCUUGAGAUCUUAGUGGCGCAGCUAACGCGAUAAGUCGACCGCCUGGGGAGUACGGCCGCAAGGUUAAAACUCAAAUGAAUUGACGGGGGCCCGCACAAGCGGUGGAGCAUGUGGUUUUAUUCGAAGCAACGCGAAGAACCUUACCUGGCCUUGACAUGCUGAGAACUUUCCAGAGAUGGAUUGGUGCCUUCGGGAACUCAGACACAGGUGCUGCAUG
This 900-nucleotide ribosomal RNA is filed under the name Pseudomonas aeruginosa. RNAcentral's name for it is "bacterial SSU rRNA". It matches the Rfam family "Bacterial small subunit ribosomal RNA", at positions 152 to 1047 of the family's 1533-position model. The record is from RNAcentral. Lineage: Bacteria; Pseudomonadati; Pseudomonadota; Gammaproteobacteria; Pseudomonadales; Pseudomonadaceae.